UUUCAGCUUUCUACAUAUGGCUAGCCAGUUUUCCCAGCACCAUUUAUUAAAUAGGGAAUCCUUUCCCCAUUUCUUGUUUUUGUCAGGUUUGUCAAAGAUGAGAUAGUUGUAGAUGUGCGGUGUUAUUUCUGAGGGCUCUGUUCUGUUCCAUUGAUCUAUAUCUCUGUUUUGGUACCAGUACCAUGCUGUUUUGGUUACUGUAGCCUUGUAGUAUAGUUUGAAGUCAGGUAGCGUGAUGCCUCCAGCUUUGUUCUUUUGGUUUAGGAUUGACUUGUUGAUGAGUGAACUCCCAUUCACAACUGCUUCAAAGAGAAUAAAAUACCUAGGAAUCCAACUUACAAGGGAUGUGAAGGACCUCUUCAAGGAGAACUACAAACCACUGCUCAAGGAAAUAAAAGAGGAUACAAACAAAUGGAAGAACAUUCCAUGCUCGUGGGUAGGAAGAAUCAAUAUCGUGAAAAUGGCCAUACUGCCCAAGGUAAAACCUGGCUGUGCCCUGUUGAAAUCAAUUCUGUUGCAGUCAUAUGCGGUGGAAUCUGUUCUUCUUUUGCAUCCUACGUAACCAGACCAAGCUGUGGGGCCAGGCACGGUGGCACAUACCUGUAAUCCCAGCACUGCAAGAGGCUGAGGUGGGCGGAUCACCUGAGGUCAGGAGUUUGAGACUAGCCUGGCCAACAUGGUGAAACCCCGUCUCUACUAAAAAUAGAAAAAUGAGCUGGAUAUGGUGGUGCACGCCUGUAAUCCCAAUUACUCGGGAGGCUGCGGCAGGAGAAUCGCUUGAACCCAGGAGACAGAGGUUGCAGUGAGCCAAGACAAAGCCAUUGUA
Molecule: long non-coding RNA, 826 nt
Organism: Gorilla gorilla gorilla (western lowland gorilla)
Lineage: Eukaryota; Metazoa; Chordata; Mammalia; Primates; Hominidae
Exons: 3
Source: RefSeq, a predicted model, not a curated record